Molecule: long non-coding RNA, 1371 nt
Filed under: Physcomitrium patens
Lineage: Eukaryota; Viridiplantae; Streptophyta; Bryopsida; Funariales; Funariaceae
Description: long non-coding RNA (PPAT_LNC009026)
Source: RNAcentral
UAAAUAAUAAUAAUAUAAUUUAAAAUAAUAUUAGUAUUAUAUUUAAUAUUCUACUAAAAAUAAUACACUAAAUAAAAAUACUAUUACAAAAUUAACAUUAAUUAGCCAUUACAAAGGUAAAAACUGAAGGAAUCUUAAUAUCUAAAAGCACGCUAUAAAAGAAUGUGGUCCAAAAGUGUUAUGUACAUUCCUUGCAUAGUAAAGAAAAGUUAUUCUUUAGAAUUGUGAGUCUUUUUUAUAUCACAGACAGUAAGAAGAUUGUACAAAAUGAAGCAAUUUUUAUCCCAUUUCUAUAUAAAAUACUAAACCUUUUAUUUCAAUAUCAUAAAUUUUGAUAAAUUUUAUAGUGAAUCUUUAAAAAACUUUCAGGGGCAUUUUUAACAACUUUUUACUUAAUUUGUCAAUUCUUUAAAAAAAAACCAUUUUUUAAAGAGAAUCUAACAUAAAUUUGGGUGACAAUGCUAUUCAUGUCAUUUACAAAAGAAAAUGCAUUCUACUCCCUAUUUUCCUCUUUUACCUUUUCUUUUUAUUGAUUAAUCUAAAUAUAAACCAACUAGAGGAAUUAUCUCAACAUUAACCUUUAUCACAAACUUUAAAAUUGUUUUUUGUCACAAUCUCUCCUAAUCACAAAAUUCUUUAAGAAGAGUUGAUAAUAAUACAUGUCUUUGCUAUGCAAGCUAAACUCUCAAUCACACCACUACCAAAUGAAGGUUGGUAAUUCUAAUCCUGCCACCAUAUGCGAAUUGGGCAAACUAGUUCAAUUUAAAAUAUAUAAUUCAGGUUAAUGUUCACUUAGUAGAAAAAUCAGAUUAAACAAAAACUUAUCACUAGCCAAACUGCAAUCUUGAAAGUAAAAUCACACCAUUCUAACAAGAACACUCUUUUUUUCUUUUCUUUUUCUGUGAAUCCCCAGCUUACACGACCACUUCACAAUUGUCAUCACUCAAUUGCGAAAUGGUGAGAAUAGAUUAUCAAGGACAACAAAGCUACCCACAAAUCUGCAAUGAAGAAUGGGCGAUGGAUGAUCGGAGCAUCCUCACUGACCAGAGGACUUGCAGAUGGCGUUGACAAGAGAUUCGUAGGAGCCACCUAACAAUUCUCCUGCGACAACCCAAGAGAAGAAGCAGAAGAAGAUGAAGAAGACGACCGAAGCACGAAAAAAGGCUCUGCAUCGACGGAAGCACAGUCGCAAAAAAAACCCUCAUCCGGGGCAGCAUUCGGGGCGGAAUUUGUAGGGUUUCCGCCCUCGCAGAAGAGACUGAAAUGGGUUUCCUCCAAAAUCUUAACACGCCUGCUCUUCGUCGCCAAUUUUCCUCGCCAACCAACAAACGGCGUUAAAAUUCCCAUUUUCUAGUCCAAUGCUCCACCGAC